CAUUUUCUUGAUUUUACUACUUCUUACUUGGUCUUUAAAAUUACGAAUUAGCUAUAUCUGCUACUGAAAUAAAUAUCAUCUUUUAUUUAUCUUGUUUACUUUGUAUUGGCUUUGUUGGGAGCUAUGUAUGUAUGUGAAGGGAGCCAUCACCUUUAUAUGAACAAUAUUGGGUUUCUCCACUGUAUUUGCUUUGCUUGUUUAAAUUUAAAUUUGUACUUUAUUAUGCUAUAAAAUUUGGUUUAAUCUUCAGGGUUCCUGCUUCCUUAUUGUUUGGUCCUCCUUCUAACCCAUAUCGGUUGGUUUUAGUUAUGAUCCCUUGCUUUUUAAAUUUCAACUUCUGCUUUCUGUUUGCACUUAGUUAUUUGUUUGUAUUGGUUUUGACAUGGUUUUCUUCCCUUCUGUUAUCGAGUGGAGUCCUGCUUUGUUGCUAUGUACUUUAGGAUGUCCAUUGAUAUACAAUUAUUGCAUGGCUUCUUUGCAAUGCGCAAGCAAAAGAAGGAGACAAUCUGGAUUACUCACUACAGCCACAUAUAUCAUCCAACAUGGCAUCACCUAAAGCAACUGCAACCAUGUUGUGUGUUCCCUAUAAAUGUGGCCGAAUUCGACUUUCUCCCUCCAGUGGAUGCUGCCAACUAUUAAACAUGGCUCACAACGGAUGAAGGUAAAGCAACUAUUUGAUCACAUCUGCGAACAUUAUUAUACCAUCUAGUAGUCUUUGGCAUGAUAGGUCAGGACAAUACGAUCAAUGCAAAUUUUGUGUAUACCCCUGUAUAUUACAUGUAUUGUUCUCUAAAGAAGAGAACAUCAAUCACUCUACGUACAAUUAUAUGUUUCUGCUGUUUCUUUAUAAUAAAAUAAAUCACUUGGGGCCGGGCCCAAGUGGUGAGGUUGAAUUUAGCACAGAAUCCAUAUUUUGCUUCUUACUUAUAUUUUUGCGGUUGUGAUCAUCACUUUGUAUAGGGUAUGGAAAUAUGAGUUUAAGGCCCAGUUUGGGAUUGAUUCCUAAACUGCUUUUGGGUCUAUUGUAGGCUGUUUGGUAAAAUCCUAGAUAUCAGCUUUUGGUCACUCUAGCUUCUUCCAACAGCGGAAAUUGAGAAGCUACAUUUCGUAGCUUUUGAAAACGGCUUCUGGGGGAAGAAUGAAAAACACGGAGAAAUUAAUGAAUUGCCUCGCCUCUAUUACUGAUCGCCUUCUCCUCCUCCUUUUGCUGUCGCUGAAAAAAUUUGAGCAGCAUCAUUCAUCCUUAUCAGAAAAUUGAGAGAGGACUUCCACUUCUGAUCACCUUUUGAAGAGCAUUCAGCCUCAUUUCGGGCACAAAUACAGUACAGGCAUUUGGUUUGUGAAAGCUUACAAAUUUGAAAUUUCCCUUGAAUCCGAGUUUACCCAGAAAAACAAGCCCAGACCCAGUGUGAGAAAUGCACGAUUUCUGCUUCACGAUCCUCUACAGGUUGUUGCUGGUGGGUGGAGGAAUAUUUGGGCAUUUCAGAAAGUGGAACACAACUCCUCUGUUUGAAGGUCUAGGCAUUGGAUUGGUUCUCAGUGUUGCUAGCAAUCUCAGUCUCCAAGCCUUUCAUAAGACUUGCUCUAAUUCUUGAAACAGGAUGCUUGCAAUUUUUCUGGCGUUGAGGGCAUCAGAGAGUUUUGUUACUCUAGAAGUUACAAGGUGAUGCAUUUAUGUGAUCAUGACAUGAAAGUGAAGCUCUCCAUGAUUUGAGUUGUGAGGAUCCUAUCUCCAAGAUCCAAUUUGUUAACCAGCAACAACUUUGAGGCGGUGUUUUAGUGCAAAACUCAAAGAAAAGGCAAUGGAACUCAUUCUUUGAAUCUGUUACGUUAGGCAACCUUCAUUUUUGAAGGUCUUCCUCAGCUAGAUAGAUUUUCUUGAAUAAUUUAUCUUUUCAUGAUGUAACCUUGGGGGGAUUCUAAUCAAGCAAGUUUUAUUUUUAUUUUUUCUUAUGAGACUACGGUUUUCCCAUUUGUAUCAUACAAGCUUCUUAAUGAGAUUCCUCUCCAUUAGAAGUACUUUUAGU
Rosa rugosa (rugosa rose) is the source of this 2027-nucleotide long non-coding RNA. RefSeq lists it as uncharacterized. NCBI's taxonomy places the organism in Eukaryota, Viridiplantae, Streptophyta, Magnoliopsida, Rosales, Rosaceae. The record is from RefSeq and is a predicted model, not a curated record. The transcript is spliced from 3 exons.